Molecule: ribosomal RNA, 251 nt
Filed under: uncultured Staphylococcus sp.
Lineage: Bacteria; Bacillati; Bacillota; Bacilli; Caryophanales; Staphylococcaceae
Description: partial 16S ribosomal RNA
Rfam family: Bacterial small subunit ribosomal RNA
Source: RNAcentral
ACGUUAGCGGCGGACGGGUGAGUAACACGUGGGUAACCUACCUAUAAGACUGGGAUAACUCCGGGAAACCGGGGCUAAUACCGGAUAACACAUGAAACCGCAUGGUUUCAUGAUGAAAGACGGUUUUGCUGUCACUUAUAGAUGGACCCGCGGCGUAUUAGCUAGUUGGUAAGGUAACGGCUUACCAAGGCAACGAUACGUAGCCGACCUGAGAGGGUGAUCGGCCACACUGAAACUGAGACACGGUCCAG